GGCUCAGGAUGAACGCUAGCUACAGGGCUUAACACAUGCAAGUCGAGGGGCAGCAUGGUCUUAGCUUGCUAAGGCCGAUGGCGACCGGCGCACGGGUGAGUAACGCGUAUCCAACCUGCCUUACACUCUUGGACAGCCUUCUGAAAGGGAGAUUAAUACAAGAUGUUAUCAUGAGUAAGCAUUUUCACAUGAUUAAAGGUUUACCGGUGUAAGAUGGGGAUGCGUUCCAUUAGAUAGUAGGCGGGGUAACGGCCCACCUAGUCUUCGAUGGAUAGGGGUUCUGAGAGGAAGGUCCCCCACAUUGGAACUGAGACACGGUCCAAACUCCUACGGGAGGCAGCAGUGAGGAAUAUUGGUCAAUGGACGAGAGUCUGAACCAGCCAAGUAGCGUGAAGGAUGAAGGUUCUAUGGAUUGUAAACUUCUUUUAUACGGGAAUAAACGAAUCCACGCGUGGAUUUUUGCAUGUACCGUAUGAAUAAGGAUCGGCUAACUCCGUG
This 498-nucleotide ribosomal RNA is filed under the name uncultured bacterium. RNAcentral's name for it is "bacterial SSU rRNA". It matches the Rfam family "Bacterial small subunit ribosomal RNA", at positions 21 to 507 of the family's 1533-position model. The record is from RNAcentral.